CUGUGCUGCAUACAAUUACACACUACGUCGUACGAUUGAGACAAGGAAACGUGGAAUGACUUUUCAUAGGUUUCCCAGAGACUAUGGGUUGAGGAGGAAGUGGAAGUUUGUUGGCUUAGACCUGGUGUCAUUCCAUCAGUGUUAAACUUCCCGGCUCAUCUUGGAAGAGUACGUGCCAGAAAGACCACAACCAAGCAGCCUUGAGAUCUUAGGCAGCGUCUCCCUGAGGUCCCUCUCUAUCUCCCCACACAUCCACCAACCACUGGAACACAUCUCCAAAGUUCUACUGGACCAGCUCAGCUUCCCCUCAGAAGAAGUACCGCCACCUGCCAGAUGGAGGAGCCUUUUGAGAGGCAGCUGGCAUCGUGAUUGGACUGUACUUUGGUCUGUUCCAAUCCAGCUUCAGCUCCAGAGACGGCAGGCGGGACGAGUCAACGGAGGCCUGAUGGACGAAGGCAUGAAGCUGAGUACAAUCCAGAAAACAACAGAGGAGGAGUGCAGCAGCCCAGGACCAGAACAACCAGAGUAGCAUGACCAAAGAACUACAGACUCUUCACAACCUGCUCAAACUCUUGGUACAGGAUCUCACCACACGAGUCAAGAAGGUUUCUGUCUCAUUUCUACU
Molecule: long non-coding RNA, 625 nt
Organism: Amphiprion ocellaris (clown anemonefish)
Lineage: Eukaryota; Metazoa; Chordata; Actinopteri; Pomacentridae
Source: Ensembl